Etheostoma cragini (Arkansas darter) is the source of this 241-nucleotide long non-coding RNA. RefSeq lists it as uncharacterized. The record is from RefSeq and is a predicted model, not a curated record. The transcript is spliced from 4 exons. Lineage: Eukaryota; Metazoa; Chordata; Actinopteri; Perciformes; Percidae.
CGGCAUCCUCAGAAUGGGAUUAGUAGUAGUUCGCCCGCGGGAUUGCACCUUAAUUUAAAUUAUAGGUGUAAUACCAUUCCAGUUUUCACCGGUAAUAUUAUAAUGUUACCUGUGAUUAAAUAUGAAAUUAAUACCCUAUAUUAGAGCUUAUGCAUUGACUUGAGCACCAAUUUUCUCCCACACCAAUUCUCGCUAUUUUGCAGCAGCAGCCGUUGUGUUGCUUUUUUAACGAAAUACAUGU